RNAcentral lists this long non-coding RNA (5093 nucleotides) under Sus scrofa (pig). RNAcentral describes it as "lncRNA (ENSSSCG00000063434.1)". The record is from RNAcentral. Lineage: Eukaryota; Metazoa; Chordata; Mammalia; Artiodactyla; Suidae.
UGUUUGGGUUCAACUUGUUUGGGGCCCUCUGUGCUUCCUGUAUCUUGAUAACUGUUUUCAGCCAUAAUUUCCUCAAAUAUAUUUUCAAUCCCUGUCUCUUUUUCUUCUUCUGGAAUCCCUAUAAUGCAUAGGUUGACCUGUUUUAUAUUAUCCCAUAGCUCUCUUAUAUUGCUUUCAUAUUUUUUCAUUGGUUUUCUGUUGCUGUCCUGAUUGGGUGAUUUCCAUUAUUUUAUCUUCCAAGUCACUAAUUCAUUUCCCUGCAUUAUUCAUUCUGCUCUUCAGUGCCCUUAACUCAGCCUACAUCUCUGCAAGUGAAUUUUUAAAUUUUUCUUGGCUUUUCCUUAUAUUUUCUAGUUCCUUUCUAAAGUAACCUGCAUUACUGUCAUAGCUGCUCUUAAUUCAUUCAUAUUUGCUCUUAAUUCCUUUAGCAUUUUGACUAUCUUCUUUUUGAACUUGGUGUCUGUUAGAAUGCAGAGGUCUGUUUCAUUGUUUGCUCCUUUAGGUAAAUUCUCUUGUUUUAUUAACUGGGAAUGGUUCCUGAGCUUCUUCAUUUUGCUUAUAUUUUUCUCAUUCUGUGAGUUUAGGAAAAACAACUACUGUAGUCUUGGAGGGCUCUUUAUAUUUAUGAGCACCCCUGGGUAUUUUGUGAGUACUUACUGUCUAUAUUUAGGGUGCUAUUUGUACUUGCAGGGAGAUGGAGGCAGUGGGCAGGGCUAGUAGCCAGUGCCUGGUUGCUGGUCUCCUAACAGUGGCAAUGAGCCAUGGGAAGGUGGUGCAGGCUGCUCCUAGUUGCUGGGCUCUGGGAAGUGACAGUUAUUUGUAGGUGACACCUGGAGAGUUUGGCAGUGGCAGCAGCAGAGUGAGUGUGUGUGUGUGUGUGUGUGUGUGUGUGUGUGUGUGCAUGCGCACAUUCCCAGGGAAGUGAGAACAGCAACAGGUGGUGCUUGGUUGCAUUGCCUUCCUGUGUGCUGACCUCUGAGGUAACUGGGGCCACAGGUGUUACCUGUUCACAGACAGGUAGUGUCUGUGGUGUUCACCACAGUUAGUGGUGGUGAGCCACACCCACCUCUGGUGUCUGACAUGACUGCCAUGGUUUGCCCCUGUGGCCUAUAGACCAGGCAAGAGACACCACUUUGUGCUUAGUCCCACUGCCCUUAGCCUUUGCAAGAGGUGCCCAGCCACCUGUAGCCCAUACAAGAGGCAUCCUGUUGCCAGUAGGCACUCUGCCCUCUGAGAGUCUGCGUGCACAGGGAAAGGUAUUCCUAUGGCAGUCUGCCCCUCAUCCUCUCACCCUCCCCAGUUAUGGUGCCUUGCUUCUCCUGUGGGCCCAGGCCUCCUCCUGGGUUCCCUUGGCUGUGGUGCUCUGCUCCCCAGCCCAUGGUGUACAGCUCCCUAGCCUUUCAGGCUGUCUCUACCCAGAGAACCCCAGUCCUCUCCCUGGAACUGACCUCCAGAGCCUGAGUCUCAGCACUCAACCCCCCACCACUGUGGUGUCUCAGGCUGUGAUGUCCAAAGAGGUGGUUCUGAUGGUCUCCGUGGCUCUCUCUCUACUUUGUCUUCCUCAGUCCAGCUGCUGUGCUUUUCUCUGAGGCUUUGCGGUCCCUCUGGCUCAGCUGAUCUCACCAUCAGUUAGGUGGCUUCCCAGGGUAUGGGUUCCUUUCUUCUUUCACAGCUCCCUCUCAGGAGUGCUAGUCCCAUCCUGAUUCCUUCUUCUUUUCUCUCUCUCUCUCCCCCCUCUUUUGUUUUAUCCAGUUAUGUGGAGGAUUUCUUGCCCUUUUUGGAAUUUUAAGGUGUUCUGCCAGUGUUCAGUAGAUGUGCUCUGCAAAUUGUUCUACAUGUAGUUUUUUUGUUUUGUUUUGUUUUUUUUUGAUGUGUUUGUGGGAGAAAGUGAGCGCCACGUCUUACUUCUCCACCAUCUUUAUCCCCCCUCCACUGGUUUUUAAAGGUAGUGUUUGGGGGGCUUUGUGUGUCUCAAAAGCAGGAGUUAAACAUUGAAGUGCCUGAUGUGGGAUUCAAGCCCUUAGCUCCGUAGGGAGAAGCUCUGGUUUCAAGUCCCUUUCUGGUUGUGGGUUACCACACCAGGGUUGGUUUUAACUCUCUUCUACCUGCUUCAAUCUGGGUUUUUUCCUCAUUUGCCUGGUGUGUGGCAUUUGCUUGCUAGUCUCCCGCUCCCCUGAGGAAAUUAUUCAUGUAUGGCUAUAGAUUUAGUGUGUCUGAGGGAGGAGGUGUGUUCAGGAUCUUCCUAAGUCACUAUUUGGCACUGAAAUUUUCAAAUACCAGUCUUUGAGACCUUCCCAGAUAUUCCUAGCUAAAAUUACGACCCUUUAAGAAAGUCCUAUAACUCUAAUCAUGUUAUACCUUGUUUAUAGUGAUUCGGUCAGACAGUGUAUUUUCUUUACUGAAUUAUGGUGGUGAAGAGGGUGGUUCUAUGUUUAUUUUUAUGACUCCCUCAAGGAUUAGAGGAAUGUUUGGAAUUUGGUGGGCUCUUGAGAUGUGGGUAAAACAUUGGAAGGAAGGCAGAAGAGGAAAAUAAAUCUGUACACCCAUGGUAUCUUCCUUACCCUUAAAGAAUGUAUUUAUACUUAGAGAUGUGUAUUUACAUUAAUGUGUCAUGCCAUUAAACUGGGGACGUCUGGUGCUAGAUAAGAUGGUGAGCAAAGAAUGGCUGCUGGCUCUUUCUCAUGCACAACAAUUCUGGAGACACCAGACAGGAGAGCUUCACAACCUGGAAUAUGUGGGAAAUUUUCAACCUAAUGAAAGACAACGGCCAAAAAUCAACAGCAAAUAUCACUUUUAACAAAAACUUUAGAUGUAGUAUUAUCUAGGCCUAUGUUUGCUGCAUGUCAAUGAAACCCAAACAACAGUGUUUUAAACACCCAGGGCCUGGCUUUUCCACAUAACAAGCAGGAAGUCAGAGGUGGCUGGUACAGCCCUGUGCAUGGCCUCACAAAACUUCAGUGUUCUCGGCCCCUUCUCGCUCUCCACUCCACCAUCUCACACCUUCACCUUUUCUUCUUAUAUUCCUAAGGUGGUUUCUGCCUUUUCAGGUACCAUAGUCCAGGCAGGAAGAAGUGGGUGGAGAGAAGGGUAAAGAGAUGUGGACCAAGCCAGCUGGGCUUGCUGGACAGAUUUGUCUUCCUAACAUUUCAUUGGCUUGGACUGUGUUACACGACUUCUUUCAGUUGGUUCAAAGGCAGCUACAUUUCAUUUAUAUAAACAACAUUGGUUUCUGUGAGAAAGGGAAAAAUAAGAGACUUGAAAAGGAAUGAAUAACUAGUAGUGUCUGCUUUGUAUUCACUUUGGGUUUGAGAAAAACGCAGUGAUCCCAACCAUGACCACUGCCUACUAAAUUAGUACUUGAUGUCUUGACUAUUGCAAAAAAGUCAGAAAUAAACUGGAGUUCCCGUCGUGGCUCAGUGGUAACGAAUCCGACUAAGAACCACAAGGUUGUGGGUCCGAUCCCUGCCUUGCUCAGUGGGUUAAGGACCCGGCGUUGCCGUGAGCUGUGGUGUAGGUUGCAGAUGCGGCUUGGAUCCCGUGUUGCUGUGGCUCUGGCGUAGGCCGGUGGCUACAGCUCUGAUUCGACUCCUGGCCUGGGAACUUCUGUAUGCCGCGGGAGCGGCCCAAGAAAUGGCAAAAAGACAAAAAACAAAAGAAACAAACAAAAAAAAAACAUGAUAUAACUUUGUCAAACUUCUGUGCCAGGCUGCAGAAACCAUAUCUAGUUGGUUUAAAAGAACGUAACUUCGGAGUUCCUGCUGUGGUGCAGUAGGAUCGAUGGCAUCUUGGGAGCACAGGGAUGCAGGUUUGAUCCCCAGCCUAGCACAGUGGGUUAAGGAUCUGGCGUUGCUGCAGCUGUGGCUUAGGUCACAACUGCGGCUUGAAUCUGAUGAUCCCUGGCCCAAAAACUCCAUAUGCUAUGGGGUGGUCAAAAGAAAAAAAAGUAGUGUGGAGUCUAUGAAGCUGACCACAUACAAAUUUGGAAUCUAUGUAUCUGGGAAUAACACCCACAGGACACACCAGACACCUCUCCUGUGGAGAGGCCAUGAGUGUCACCAUUUGGUAGAUGCUGUGUGGAAACUGACAAUUCUACCAAUCUAGGCACUGGGGAUUAUGGCCAGAAUCUCUGCCACAGCCCAAUCUCUGCCUUCUCUCUCCCUUUCAGAAUGAUUCUUCAUGAUGCUUUACCCUUUAUUUCAUUAAUCUUCUUUUCAAAAGUCUGUGCUCUAGCUGCACAGGAGUCUGGAAAAAGCAAGUUUCUAUCUUUUAUCAUGGGAGCUGGUGACUUAAAAGGAGAGAAAUCUCUUUGAAUAUCUUGGAAGGAUGUUUAAAGAUGCUAGGUAGCCAGAAAGGGUGAUACAUGUCUGUUAUAACAGAGAAGGAUGGGCAAGAAAGGGACAAAAUUCUCCUUUUUAGAUGUUCAUCAUUUAUAUAGAUACCUCUUCAAAUUCAACCAGUUUUUAGAACUGAAAAGAGAGUUCUGCAAGACAGCCAGAUGUGUGAUCAAUGUAUAAAAAUUCAUUCUUCCUUACCGAAAAUAACCUAUUAGAAGUUUGUAUAGAAAAUAUUUUAAUAGCAACACAACAUAUAAUAUAUUGAAAUUAAGCUAAUAAAGAAUAUAAAAAUUAUUAUAGAAAAUUUGACUAUGAAAGAAUUUUUUAAAAACCUGAAUAAAUGAAACAAAAUAUCAUGCUAAUGAAUGAGAUAAUUUAACAUUUUAAAAGUUUAAUUCUCCCAAAAUUAGUCUGUAAAUUCAGUGCAAUUUAUUAAACAACUCCAAAAGGAUUUUUUGAGGUAAAUCAACAAAAUGAUUCUCAAAUAUAUUUGAAAAAAAAGACCAAAAAAAAAAAAAAAUGGAGUUCCUGUCGUGGCGCAGUGGUUAACGAAUCCGACUAGGAACCAUGAGGUUGCGGGUUCGGUCCCUGCCCUUGCUCAGUGGGUUGACGAUCCGGCGUUGCCGUGAGCUGUGGUGUAGGUUGCAGACGCGGCUUGGAUCUCGUGUUGCUGUGGCUCUGGUGUAGGCCGCGGCUACAGCUCCGAUUGGACCCCUAGCCUGGGAAUCUCCAUAUGCCGCGGGAGUGGCCCAAGAAAUG